This 72-nucleotide transfer RNA is filed under the name Ovis aries (sheep). It matches the Rfam family "tRNA". From Rfam's summary of the family: Transfer RNA (tRNA) molecules are approximately 80 nucleotides in length. Their secondary structure includes four short double-helical elements and three loops (D, anti-codon, and T loops). Lineage: Eukaryota; Metazoa; Chordata; Mammalia; Artiodactyla; Bovidae. The record is from Rfam by way of RNAcentral.
CCCUGAUUAGCUCAGUUGGUAAAGAAUCCACCUGCAAUGCAGAAGGCCCAGGUUCAAUUCCUGGGUCAGGAA